Molecule: ribosomal RNA, 1102 nt
Filed under: Immersiella immersa
Lineage: Eukaryota; Fungi; Ascomycota; Sordariomycetes; Sordariales; Lasiosphaeriaceae
Description: eukaryotic LSU rRNA
Rfam family: Eukaryotic large subunit ribosomal RNA
Source: RNAcentral
GUACCCGCUGAACUUAAGCAUAUCAAUAAGCGGAGGAAAAGAAACCAACAGGGAUUGCCCCAGUAACGGCGAGUGAAGCGGCAACAGCUCAAAUUUGAAAUCUGGCUUCGGCCCGAGUUGUAAUUUGCAGAGGAAGAUUCUGGUGACGCGCCGUCCGAGUCCCCUGGAACGGGGCGCCAUAGAGGGUGAGAGCCCCGUAUGGAUGGAUGCCUAGCCUGUGUGAAUCUCCUUCGACGAGUCGAGUAGUUUGGGAAUGCUGCUCAAAAUGGGAGGUAAAUUCCUUCUAAAGCUAAAUAUUGGCCAGAGACCGAUAGCGCACAAGUAGAGUGAUCGAAAGAUGAAAAGCACUUUGAAAAGAGGGUUAAACAGCACGUGAAAUUGUUGAAAGGGAAGCGCUUGUGACCAGACUUGCGCCUGGCUGAUCAUCCGGUGUUCUCACCGGUGCACUCUGCCAGGCUCAGGCCAGCAUCGGUUUUCGUGGGGGGAUAAAGGUCCUGGGAACGUAGCUCCUCUGGGAGUGUUAUAGCCCGGGGCGUAAUGCCCUCGCGGGGACCGAGGUUCGCGCAUCUGCAAGGAUGCUGGCGUAAUGGUCAUCAGCGACCCGUCUUGAAACACGGACCAAGGAGUCAAGGUUUUGCGCGAGUGUUUGGGUGUCAAACCCGCACGCGUAAUGAAAGUGAACGUAGGUGAGAGCUUCGGCGCAUCAUCGACCGAUCCUGAUGUAUUCGGAUGGAUUUGAGUAGGAGCGUUAAGCCUUGGACCCGAAAGAUGGUGAACUAUGCUUGGAUAGGGUGAAGCCAGAGGAAACUCUGGUGGAGGCUCGCAGCGGUUCUGACGUGCAAAUCGAUCGUCAAAUCUGAGCAUGGGGGCGAAAGACUAAUCGAACCAUCUAGUAGCUGGUUACCGCCGAAGUUUCCCUCAGGAUAGCAGUGUUGUUCUUCAGUUUUAUGAGGUAAAGCGAAUGAUUAGGGACUCGGGGGCGCUUUUUAGCCUUCAUCCAUUCUCAAACUUUAAAUAUGUAAGAAGCCCUUGUUACUUAAUUGAACGUGGGCAUUCGAAUGUACCAACACUAGUGGGCCAUUUUUGGUAAGCAGAACUGGCG